CAGGGUGUAGCUAAGAUAGUAAAGCAUCUCCCUUACACCGAGAAGUCGCCCGUGCGAACCGAGUCACCCUGA
RNAcentral lists this transfer RNA (72 nucleotides) under Orestias agassizii. Its description in RNAcentral is "tRNA-Val". It matches the Rfam family "tRNA". Rfam says of the family: Transfer RNA (tRNA) molecules are approximately 80 nucleotides in length. Their secondary structure includes four short double-helical elements and three loops (D, anti-codon, and T loops). Further hydrogen bonds mediate the characteristic L-shaped molecular structure. tRNAs have two regions of fundamental functional importance: the anti-codon, which is responsible for specific mRNA codon recognition, and the 3' end, to which the tRNAs corresponding amino acid is attached (by aminoacyl-tRNA synthetases). tRNAs cope with the degeneracy of the genetic code in two manners: having more than one tRNA (with a specific anti-codon) for a particular amino acid; and 'wobble' base-pairing, i.e. permitting non-standard base-pairing at the 3rd anti-codon position. RNAcentral also lists the same sequence under 4 other names. Lineage: Eukaryota; Metazoa; Chordata; Actinopteri; Cyprinodontiformes; Cyprinodontidae. The record is from RNAcentral.